UCUCCCAUCCAAGUACUCACCAGGGCCAGCCCUGCUUAGCUUCCAAGAUCAGAUGAGGUCCGGUGCGUUCAGGGUAGUAUGGCC
RNAcentral lists this small RNA (84 nucleotides) under Cricetulus griseus (Chinese hamster). Lineage: Eukaryota; Metazoa; Chordata; Mammalia; Rodentia; Cricetidae. The record is from RNAcentral.